RNAcentral lists this non-coding RNA (129 nucleotides) under Thalassiosira antarctica. The record is from RNAcentral. Lineage: Eukaryota; Bacillariophyta; Thalassiosirophyceae; Thalassiosirales; Thalassiosiraceae.
UAGCAUCCACCCUAGACCCUCAUUAAUAUCCCCAACAUCCCAUUGUCCCGAACCCUCUAAUCAAUCUCCAUCAUGAGGACAUCCAACCCCCUCCUCCUAUUGGGCCUAGCCACCCUCCCCACCCCCCUC